UACGGAGGGGGCUAGCGUUGUUCGGAAUUACUGGGCGUAAAGCGCGCGUAGGCGGCCCUGCAAGUCGGGGGUGAAAGCCCGAGGCUCAACCUCGGAACUGCCUUCGAUACUGCGGGUCUCGAGUCCGGGAGAGGUGAGUGGAAUUCCUAGUGUAGAGGUGAAAUUCGUAGAUAUUAGGAAGAACACCAGCGGCGAAGGCGGCUCACUGGCCCGGUACUGACGCUGAGACGCGAAAGCGUGGGGAGCAAACAGG
Molecule: ribosomal RNA, 253 nt
Filed under: uncultured bacterium
Lineage: Bacteria
Description: partial 16S ribosomal RNA
Rfam family: Bacterial small subunit ribosomal RNA
Source: RNAcentral